UGGAUGCUCGAAAGCAGGCCAC
Molecule: unclassified non-coding RNA, 22 nt
Filed under: Mus musculus (house mouse)
Lineage: Eukaryota; Metazoa; Chordata; Mammalia; Rodentia; Muridae
Description: oocyte_clustered_small_RNA5065
Source: RNAcentral